This 253-nucleotide ribosomal RNA is filed under the name uncultured bacterium. Its description in RNAcentral is "partial 16S ribosomal RNA". It matches the Rfam family "Bacterial small subunit ribosomal RNA", at positions 524 to 776 of the family's 1533-position model. The record is from RNAcentral.
UACGGAGGGGGUUAGCGUUACUCGGAAUUACUGGGCGUAAAGCAUGCGCAGGCGGUUUUGUAAGUCUGUUGUGAGAUCCCCGGGCUUAACCUGGGAAUGGCAAUGGAGACUGCAAGGCUAGAGUUUGGCAGAGGGGGGUAGAAUUCCACGUGUAGCAGUGAAAUGCGUAGAGAUGUGGAGGAACACCGAUGGCGAAGGCAGCCCCCUGGGUCAAGACUGACGCUCAUGCACGAAAGCGUGGGGAGCAAACAGG